GACGAACGCUGGCGGCGUGCUUAACACAUGCAAGUCGGACGGAAAGGCCCUGCUUUUGUGGGGUGCUCGAGUGGCGAAAGGGUGAGUAACACGUGAGUAACCUGCCCUUGACUUUGGGAUAACUUCAGGAAACUGGGGCUAAUACCGGAUAGGAGCUCCUGCUGCAUGGUGGGGGUUGGAAAGUUUCGGCGGUUGGGGAUGGACUCGCGGCUUAUCAGCUUGUUGGUGGGGUAGUGGCUUACCAAGGCUUUGACGGGUAGCCGGCCUGAGAGGGUGACCGGCCACAUUGGGACUGAGAUACGGCCCAGACUCCUACGGGAGGCAGCAGUGGGGAAUAUUGCACAAUGGGCGGAAGCCUGAUGCAGCAACGCCGCGUGCGGGAUGACGGCCUUCGGGUUGUAAACCGCUUUCGCCUGUGACGAAGCGUGAGUGACGGUAAUGGGUAAAGAAGCACCGGCUAACUACGUG
This 468-nucleotide ribosomal RNA is filed under the name uncultured bacterium. RNAcentral describes it as "partial 16S ribosomal RNA". It matches the Rfam family "Bacterial small subunit ribosomal RNA", at positions 28 to 507 of the family's 1533-position model. The record is from RNAcentral.